This 1705-nucleotide long non-coding RNA is filed under the name Salmo salar (Atlantic salmon). Its description in RNAcentral is "lncRNA (ENSSSAG00000095149.1)". The record is from RNAcentral. Lineage: Eukaryota; Metazoa; Chordata; Actinopteri; Salmoniformes; Salmonidae.
GGGGGGUUAAAAUGGGUCAGCAUAUCUCACCUGUCCUAAUCCUGUUCUUUAUAGUCACCUGUGGAAGCUGUGCAACCAUGUCCUUCUAUAUCAUUACACACACACACACACACUGUACACACACAACCACACUGUGUACACACAUGAGAUGUAAGCACCUCAUCAAACUGUGCCAUCAGCUUCCUGUUCCUGUAUAGUGAGUCUAGCUGUCUGAGCCUCCCGUUCUUCAGCUUUCACAUUCCUUUACAAAGGGAUAUUCUUUCUCCUUCAACUGUGAAAAGAUAUAUCUAUAGAAAACAUACAGAUUAAUAUAUGUACUAUCAACUUAUGUAUAGUGUCCAUAUUCCCCCCCAAAAAAAUAUUUAUACAUUUUGUUAAAAAAAAAUAAAAAAAAAUAAAUGAAGAAAAAAAUCUGAAAGAAAAGGUGUCCUGAAGUGGAGGUGAAGUUGACAGUUGGAGAUAUUUAUGCUAAAGGACACUAAAGGAAACUGGUCACUGCGACUGUUUCAAAGAAAAGACCCAGAGUCCCUUCACCUUACCACUAUUACACAAUAUCAUUAGAUGUGCAACAAUGUAUCCAAUUUAAUGUGUUUUAACAUCAACAACAAAAAAGAUUGACUUAUUUUUGUUGAUUUUUAUCUGCAAUUUCUGUGCAUUUGAGCCAAAUUGUUACAUGUACAAGAGCUAUAUUGUGUAUUUUAUUAAAUGAAUAUAUCGUUGUGUUGCAAUAUACAUGGGCUUUAUAUUGUAUUUGACAACCUCGCCUUAGUAGCUUGUCGAACUCUAUGAGUUUAAUUCAGUUUGGGGAUGUAUCCCGAAUAGCACCCUGUUUCCUGUGGAGUGCACUAGUUUUGACCAGGGCCCAUAGGGACACUCAUAGGGCUCUGGUCAAAACUAGUGCACUACAUAGGUUAUAGGGUUCCAUUUAGGACUCAGCCUUGGGUUUUGUUUUGUUUUUCGUCUGUGUGUUCUCCUCUCUACGUUUGCGUCCUUGCAGGAUGGGCUUCACGCUGCUUUCAGACAUGUUCUCCUCUCUUUCCUACCUGACAUCACAACGCUUCAUAUUUAUUACAACACGGUCCAGCUUGAUGCGUCAGCACAUUUAGACUACAAAACAAAACAAACAAUGAAAACUACAACGACCACGUUCAACAACCGUUGGGACUAUUUUUACUAUUGAAAGCGUUAUCUUUCUGGAGGACAGCUCAUUUUAUUUUUUAAAACCAUUUCCUGUUCUUCUUACACUGUUGGUUUAUAUUUAUUGUUAUUUUUCCAAAAUACAAAAAAACUGCCAUUAUGUGGAGUUGUUACCAUGGCGAUUAUAUACAGAAUAAUACUGUGUGUUCCAAAUGGAACCCUAUUCCCUAUAUAGUGCACUACUGUUUUUACCAGGGCCUUAUAGAACUUUGCUCAAAAAGUAGUGCACUAUAUAGGGAAUAAGGGUGCUACUUUUGGAUACAGUUAAAUACACGCUUCUAUUGUUCCUGUUCAGCUUGUGGCUCCUGAAAAAGCACUGGUCCAGAAUCAGAUUGUGUGUUUUAUAUAAAGGACCAACAAAGGAAAAAGGUGCUAUGUGUUCUUUCUGUCUGUUCAAUACGCAUCAUCGCUUCGCUCACACCGUUGAGGAGAAAACAUCACAAACUCAUUUACACUGAAAUGUGUUUAAACAUGUUUCAUGUUUUUAGCUGUACAAGUAGACUUUAAA